This is a long non-coding RNA of Corvus hawaiiensis (hawaiian crow), 1675 nucleotides long. RefSeq lists it as uncharacterized. The record is from RefSeq and is a predicted model, not a curated record. The transcript is spliced from 3 exons. Lineage: Eukaryota; Metazoa; Chordata; Aves; Passeriformes; Corvidae.
CAAGAAUGCAAGCAGGCUCUGGCUUGCUUUAACAUCAGGCCCAGUGUUCCUGGCCUGAACUAUAAAACUCCUCCAUCUUCAGUGGGUGAGGAGACUAUUUCCACAGUACACAAAAAUAUCUCUGGCAACAAUAGUAGCAGUCAUUCCUUUGCUCAUCUGCAAGCCACGUGGUGUGGCGUGUGGGAGCAGCCGCCAUCUUACCUCUGGCUGGGGAAGCCGCUGGAUGUCGCCUGUGGGGAGUGUCCGCCAUUUUGUUUGUGUUCCUGGUGGUGAACACUUUCUGUCUAUUCUUUCAUCUAGAGAAAAAUCUUUCUGUACUCUGAAGUUUUGUAUUGGAGAUAGCUAUCCUAAACUCUAUAAGGAACCAGAAGACCACGUGUCAUGCAAAUGAACCCAGACUCCACUUUCUUUCAACAAACAGGACAUUCCCUUAAUAGCACUGCCACUUCACAGAAUCACAGAAUCAAAGAAUCAUGGAAUUGUUUAGGUUGGAAAACCUAAGAUCAUUGAGUUCAAUCAUUACCUGAUCACUGCCAAGGCUACCACUAAACCAUAUCUCUUAGUGACCCAUCUACAUGUUUUAAACCCUACCAGGGAUGGUCUCAGACUCUACAAACCUCUGUAGACCUAUGUAAUGUUCUGUCUCUGUGGUGUCUCUUCCUUUCACAUGAGAAUGGUUUGCUUUCCACCUUUAGCUUCUGUGGUAACAUGCCUCUUCUUCUCAGUGUCAAGCUCUGUCUCAUGCUGUUGCACAGGCUGUCCCCUCAUUAUUCACUAUUUGCUCAUAUCCAUGCUUUUUCCCCUCUGUUGCAACAAUCUGUAACUGCAUGGAAGUCAUGGACUCAGACACUCACAUCUACUUGCACUGCAUUCUCUCUUUGUCCUGUGCAAAUCCCUACAUAUUCAGCAUUUAUGUAUUUUCCCUUGUCUGCACAAACAAGUAUUUAUUUACACAGAAGCCACAUGGAGGAAGUUUGCCGAAGAUUUUAUAUGCAUCCACUAAUUCAGUUUCACAUGAAACAGAGUGCAAGAAGUAGCAAAAUGGGAAGCUUUGUUUUGAAGAGAUCUUGUAACUUUUCCAUUCAUAGUUUAAUGGUACCAUCCUUGGGAAUGUGUCCUUGAUUCAGAAUGCCAUGCAUAGAGAGAAGCACCUGAUUUUGUGAUACUUCAUGGAGGAGAAGAUGGAGCAUGGACAAAUGCCAGACCUGGUGAGAUAGAGAUGCUUGAUUUGAUAGGUACCUUCCAGGUGUUCCAGAAAAAGAAGUAUCUGUGUCCUGUUCUUCUGAGUCUUGAUGUUGUGGUUUUUCUAUGAGUAGCUGGCAUCUAAUUCCUGGAGCAUUGUGUUUUCUGUGGGUUUCUUUUCUUUUUCCUUUCUGUCCCACUUACAAGGGAGCUAUAAAAGCUCCCACAGGAUGCUCCAGAUAGUCUGAAAAAUAAAUGCAGAGGGAUGCACAACAUUCAACAUUUAACAAAGAUCUGUUUUGCCUUCUAAUUUCUGUUUAAAGAAGCAACAAAUCCUUAAAACAAGACUGCCAAGCUCAUUAUUCUCAGCUUUCCCUCAGGCACAUGCUGUGUGGGUGGGAAAAAUUACAUUUCAUAGUCUGAUGCUGGCUACUUUCUUUCUCUCCCUUAGCUUGCCUCCAUCCUUUCUUAGGGUUUUAUCAGACCAAGGUGA